This 238-nucleotide ribosomal RNA is filed under the name uncultured bacterium. RNAcentral describes it as "partial 16S ribosomal RNA". It matches the Rfam family "Bacterial small subunit ribosomal RNA", at positions 336 to 590 of the family's 1533-position model. The record is from RNAcentral.
UUCCUACGGGAGGCAGCAGUGGGGGAUAUUGCACAAUGGGGGGAACCCUGAUGCAGCGACGCCGCGUGGGUGAAGGAGUGCUUCGGCAUGUAAAGCCCUAUCGGCAGGGAAGAAGCAAGACGGGACCUGACUAAGAAGCCCCGGCUAAAUACGUGCCAACAGCCGCGGUAAUACGUAGGGGGGGAGCGUUAUCCGGAUUCACUGGGUGUAAAGGGAGCGUAGACAGCCAAACAAGCCA